CGAGUUCCCGACUCCCUUCUAGUCUGCGUGUUCAACUUCUUCUUUUUCAACUCUUCUGCUUGGUGUGUGUGUGUUUGGAGUCUGAUGUAAGCCCAACGAUUGGCAUUCGGUUUCCCGUUGUUGUUUGUUCGUGGAGUCAGAUGUAAGCCCAACGAUUGGCUAUCUGUUUCCUAUUUCUCUUGUGGAGUUGGAUGUAAGACCAGCGAUUGGCAUUCCUUU
Molecule: long non-coding RNA, 219 nt
Filed under: Lathyrus oleraceus (garden pea)
Lineage: Eukaryota; Viridiplantae; Streptophyta; Magnoliopsida; Fabales; Fabaceae
Description: Pisum sativum (pea) long non-coding RNA (PSAT_LNC007859)
Source: RNAcentral